GACGAACGCUGGCGGCGUGCCUAAUACAUGCAAGUAGAACGCUGAAGAGAGGAGCUUGCUCUUCUUGGAUGAGUUGCGAACGGGUGAGUAACGCGUAGGUAACCUGCCUUGUAGCGGGGGAUAACUAUUGGAAACGAUAGCUAAUACCGCAUAACAAUGGAUGACACAUGUCAUUUAUUUGAAAGGGGCAAUUGCUCCACUACAAGAUGGACCUGCGUUGUAUUAGCUAGUAGGUGAGGUAAUGGCUCACCUAGGCGACGAUACAUAGCCGACCUGAGAGGGUGAACGGCCACACUGGGACUGGGACACGGCCCAGACUCCUACGGGAAGGAGCAGUAGGGAAUCUUCGGCAAUGGGGGCAACGCUGACCGAGCAACGCCGGGUGAGUGAAGAAGGGUUUCGGAUCGUAAAGCUCUGUUGUAAGUCAAGAACGGGUGUGAGAGUGGAAAGUUCACACUGUGACGGUAGCUUACCAGAAAGGGACGGCUAACUACGUG
RNAcentral lists this ribosomal RNA (497 nucleotides) under uncultured bacterium. RNAcentral describes it as "partial 16S ribosomal RNA". It matches the Rfam family "Bacterial small subunit ribosomal RNA", at positions 28 to 507 of the family's 1533-position model. The record is from RNAcentral.